CCUACGGGAGGCAGCAGUGAGGAAUAUUGGUCAAUGGACGAGAGUCUGAACCAGCCAAGUAGCGUGAAGGAUGACUGCCCUAUGGGUUGUAAACUUCUUUUAUAUGGGAAUAAAAUGUUCCACGUGUGGGAUUUUGUAUGUACCAUAUGAAUAAGGAUCGGCUAACUCCGGGCCAGCAGCCGCGGUAAUACGGAGGAUCCGAGGGUUAUACGGAUUUAUUGGGUUUAACGGGAGCGUAGGUGGAUUGUUAAGUCAGUUGUGAAAGUUUGCGGCUCAACCGUAAAAUUGCAGUUGAAACUGGCAGUCUUGAGUACAGUAGAGGUGGGCGGAAUUCGUGGUGUAGCGGUGAAAUGCUUAGAUAUCACGAAGAACUCCGAUUGCGAAGGCAGUUCACUGGACUGCAACUGACACUGAGGCUCGAAAGUGUGGGUAUCAAACAGGAUUAGAUACCCCAGUAGUC
This 460-nucleotide ribosomal RNA is filed under the name uncultured bacterium. Its description in RNAcentral is "partial 16S ribosomal RNA". It matches the Rfam family "Bacterial small subunit ribosomal RNA", at positions 338 to 795 of the family's 1533-position model. The record is from RNAcentral.